UAGGGAAUCUUCGGCAAUGGACGGAAGUCUGACCGAGCAACGCCGCGUGAGUGAAGAAGGUUUUCGGAUCGUAAAGCUCUGUUGUAAGAGAAGAACGAGUGUGAGAGUGGAAAGUUCACACUGUGACGGUAUCUUACCAGAAAGGGACGGCUAACUACGUGCCAGCAGCCGCGGUAAUACGUAGGUCCCGAGCGUUGUCCGGAUUUAUUGGGCGUAAAGCGAGCGCAGGCGGUUAGAUAAGUCUGAAGUUAAAGGCUGUGGCUUAACCAUAGUACGCUUUGGAAACUGUUUAACUUGAGUGCAAGAGGGGAGAGUGGAAUUCCAUGUGUAGCGGUGAAAUGCGUAGAUAUAUGGAGGAACACCGGUGGCGAAAGCGGCUCUCUGGCUUGUAACUGACGCUGAGGCUCGAAAGCGUGGGGAGCAAACAGGAUUAGAUACCCUGGUAGUCCACGCCGUAAACGAUGAGUGCUAGAUGUUAGACCCUUUCCGGGGUUUAGUGCCGUAGCUAACGCAUUAAGCACUCCGCCUGGGGAGUACGACCGCAAGGUUG
This 550-nucleotide ribosomal RNA is filed under the name uncultured bacterium. Its description in RNAcentral is "bacterial SSU rRNA". It matches the Rfam family "Bacterial small subunit ribosomal RNA", at positions 355 to 896 of the family's 1533-position model. The record is from RNAcentral.